GUCCACGCAGUAAACGAUGAGAACUAGAUGUUAGGGUGCUAGUCACCUUAGUAUCGCAGCUAACGCAAUAAGUUCUCCGCCUGGGGAGUACGGUCGCAAGAUUAAAACUCAAAGGAAUUGACGGGGGCCCGCACAAGCGGUGGAGCAUGUGGUUUAAUUCGAUGCAACGCGAAGAACCUUACCUACUUUUGAAUCCACGGAACCUUGCAGAAAUGUGAGGGUGCCUUCGGGAACCGUGAGACAGGUGCUGCAUGGCUGUCGU
Molecule: ribosomal RNA, 262 nt
Filed under: uncultured bacterium
Lineage: Bacteria
Description: partial 16S ribosomal RNA
Rfam family: Bacterial small subunit ribosomal RNA
Source: RNAcentral